CCGGCGCACGGGUGAGUAACGCGUAUGCAACUUACCUAUCAGAGGGGGAUAACCCGGCGAAAGUCGGACUAAUACCGCAUGAAGCAGGGGCCCCGCAUGGGGAUAUUUGCUAAAGAUUCAUCGCUGAUAGAUAGGCAUGCGUUCCAUUAGGCAGUUGGCGGGGUAACGGCCCACCAAACCGACGAUGGAUAGGGGUUCUGAGAGGAAGGUCCCCCACAUUGAUACUGAGACACGGACCAA
Molecule: ribosomal RNA, 240 nt
Filed under: uncultured bacterium
Lineage: Bacteria
Description: partial 16S ribosomal RNA
Rfam family: Bacterial small subunit ribosomal RNA
Source: RNAcentral